Lutra lutra (Eurasian river otter) is the source of this 212-nucleotide long non-coding RNA. RefSeq lists it as uncharacterized. The transcript is spliced from 3 exons. The record is from RefSeq and is a predicted model, not a curated record. Lineage: Eukaryota; Metazoa; Chordata; Mammalia; Carnivora; Mustelidae.
GGGUAUUUACUUCCUUUAUCCAUUUGUUGAAGACAAACUGAUGAUUAUGCCCGUGUACAGUAUGCAGUAUGAGCAAAGAGAACAGUGUCUUCUUGAUCAAUGUUACUUGGAAGAGUCAUCAGGAUCCAAAAUGCCUGACCUUCUUCAUUGACACGGCUAUGGAUUUGAAGAGAGAUCACAAGCAGGCAGAGAAGCAGGCAGAGAGAGAGGGG